Molecule: long non-coding RNA, 710 nt
Organism: Carya illinoinensis
Lineage: Eukaryota; Viridiplantae; Streptophyta; Magnoliopsida; Fagales; Juglandaceae
Exons: 2
Source: RefSeq, a predicted model, not a curated record
AGACCCAUUCCUUCUCUUUCGAAACCAGACCCGUUCUCCAUUCCUGUUUCCUCUCUUCCGAAACCAGACCCAUUCUUCUCCUCCAUUCCCUUUUCCUCUCUUCCGAAAUCAAACCCAUUCUCCUCCUCCAUUCUCAUUUCCUUUCUUCCGAAACCAGACCCAUUCUCCUCCUCCAUUCCCAUUUCCUCUCUUCCGAAACCAGAUCCAUUCUCCUCCUCCAUUCCCGUUUCCUCUCUUCCGUUUCCUAACCCAUUCUCCUCCUCCAUUCCUAUUUCCUCUCUUCCGAAACCAGAUCCUCUCACUUCCAAAUCGUGGCAGAAAACCCCGUUGGCGCAAGAUCUUCUACUCCACUCCAUGGCAGGAGAAGCAAAGUGCCAAUUCUUCAUAUAGGCAGAUAUACUUCAACUAGUAGAGGAUAAAAUUCGCUCAAGAGAUAAUGCAAUGAGAAAAAGGGAGGACAAUAUAUUGUUGCGCAAAUAUGAAGUUCAGAAAAAAGAAGAUAAACUAGGUGAAAAAAAGAAUGUUCUUUACAAGCAAGAGGAAAAAAUUGGGAAGCAAUCGUAGAGAAUAGAUGUGCAUGCAUCUUUUUGUGUAUGUAUUGGAUGUUAUCAAUUGUAAUAAUUUCUUGUUGGCUUGGACCAUAAAUGUAUUUGGUGGAAGUUAGUUGUAAAUGGAUAGUUGGGAUUUAAUAUGACGCUUUAUAUUUUGAA